RNAcentral lists this long non-coding RNA (3850 nucleotides) under Brassica napus (rape). RNAcentral describes it as "long non-coding RNA (BNAP_LNC003320)". Lineage: Eukaryota; Viridiplantae; Streptophyta; Magnoliopsida; Brassicales; Brassicaceae. The record is from RNAcentral.
UUGAGUACAAGAAAAGGGUUAAGCUUCAGUCUAAGCAGUAUCCUCCCAUUGUCUAAAAACGUCAGAAGUGAACGUAUGAAUCUUUUGUGUUUUUUGUGAUUGUGUUUAAAUGUAAUCGGGUGAUUAAAAAAAACUCCUCAUUUUGGCACCUUUGAGACACUACUAGAAUCUCUUUUAUUUCCGGAAAACAAAAGUUAUCUUUUUCUCUAUGUUAACUGUUAAUAUUCUUGGUACUACUGAUUCAGUUGGGGUCUGCUUGUGUUUAUACACAUUACCUAUGUUCUCUGGUUCAGUUUGUGUUAUUUUCCAUGUUCUAACGAAGUCGAAUGUGAUUGGUCUUUAUUCUCAAGAUCUUUUUAGUUUGAAAUGUAGAAUAUAUCUCUGAUAAUUUGUUACAUAUUUCUCCAUUGCAGGUCGGAUCUCUUGUGUUUGGCCAUCAAAAGUUCAUUUCCACUCUGUACAAUUGCUUAUAUGUGUUCUUAAGUGUUAUACCAGGGAUAAAUGCCUAAAAGUGACGACUCCUAACAUAAUGUGUGAACUAGGGUUAGAGAUUUUUAACAUAACCGAACUUCCAAACCCCACUCUUAACAUAAUGUGCGAACUAUGGCUGGAAUUUUUAACCGAACCGAAUUUGCCCAACAAAACCAAACCAAACUGAAAAUUUUGGUUUUCGGUUAGUUUGGUGGGAAGUUCGGUAACAUAAAAAAAGUCGAUUUUUGGUUCCGUAAUCGGUUAGUUCAAUUUAAAAAAAUAAUUCAAAUAGUACUAAUCUUAACCGCAAUUCCGAACAGAACUAACUGAAAUCCGUAAUGAAAUAACUGAACUAAAAUUAACCAAUUUUUUCGAAUUUUAUUCAAUAUAAACCGAAAAUUUAACCGAAUUGACCGUAUAAGCCGAGAAGGGAAUUUUUACGGUUUAAUUUGGCGAAAUUUUAGUUAAACCGACGUUAUUUAUCAAUUCGAUAGUUAGUUUAAUAAAAAGUGUAAUAUAAGUUAAGAUGGACCAACCUAUUUUUCUAGGAAUAGUUUAUUUUUUAUAGUUAUUUAUUAAAUAAGAAUUUAUAAUCAUACGGUUCUAUGAUCGUUCAUAUCGUUUUAUAACAAAAUAUUUAAAUCAUCGAUAACAAAAUUUUUUGACCAACUUAUGUAUCUAACAACAUAUAAAAAUCAAAUGUGGACCUACUUAUUUUUCAAUUGAAUGUAAUUGACUACCUAAUUGAGUGCCACCUAUGCAUUGGGGCCUCUUUUAAUUAAUACAAAAUUGAGGUUACAUCUUUUCAAAUGUUCCUCAAUUAAUAUAUAAGGGAUGAGAUAUCAAAAUACUAUAUGCAACUUGUAUAUAAUCACUUAUUUUCACAAAUCAUUUGAUGGUUAAGAAAAUUAGAUUAAAUUGUUUGUUCUAUCUAUCAAUUCAUUUGAUAAAAUCACUUUUGCUCAUAUACCAUUCCUUGGUUUCUAGUUUUUACCAACCAAAUUGUCUUGAGAUGAUGCUUUAUUCUGCACCCACACCACCAGUGAUGGGAGAGAAAAUAAUUGAAUGGAGCUUAAUGGGCCCAUAGUUGUUUUAUGGGUCACGUGAUAAAUAGGAAGAGAGAGAGAAUCUUUUGGUAGCUUUAUUGGGUUUCCAUAUACUCGCGUAGGUUUCACGCUAUCCAUUGACUUUUUCUUUACGCCUUUUCUUCUUUUUAUUAUUAUUUUUAAAAUAAUUAUCGACGGUCAAUUCACUAAAAGGACGAGAAGGACAUUCAUUCGCCGCGAAAUCUGGACCGUACGAUGCUCCGAUUACGCUUUAACAAAGGGGGCAAAUCCGUAACUUCACUUCUUCAUCUUCCCCCAAUCCCUCUCGUCUUCUUCGAGCUAUAUAGAGCGAUAGAGAGAGAGAGAAGAGAAGCGUUAGAUUUGAGAGUUACAGAGAGUGAGUAAGAGAUGGCUAGUGGAAUCGCUCGAGGUCGUUUGGCGGAGGAGAGGAAAUCGUGGAGGAAGAAUCAUCCUCAUGUAUGUGUUUUUCUUCUAUACGCUUUCUCCAAUUUCAAAAUUUGAUGCUUGGGCAAGUGUUAAUUGGUCUCCGAUUGCGUUUAUCGAUGGUGGAAUUAGGGUUUUGUGGCGAAGCCGGAGACUGGGCCUGAUGGGUCUGUGAAUCUAAUGGUGUGGCAUUGCACUAUUCCUGGUAAAGCCGGUGUAAGUAUACACAAUCGUUUUAUCAAUUUUAUCUUAUGUGCGUCAGUUAAUUGUGAAAUUAGGGUUCUUAUGUCUUCAAAGUUCGAACCUUUCACCAGAUAGUGUGAUUCAUGUUUGAAGUUUUUUUAUAUGCAAUUUUGCUUAUUUGAUUACGUAUAUAACUGUGGAAGAGUUUAUUCUGUGAAUGCUUAGUGGGAAAGAGUAGCUAGAUGUUAUGAAUUGGUGCAUAAAAUAAAAAUGUGUUCUUGGAGAUGUUUUUGAAUUUGAACUCUGAUGUGUACCUUGUUUAGCUUUUCUUCCUGGUUCAUUGCUAAUAAGAGUUUCUUAUACAUGAUAAUUGCUAAGUGGUUACUGAUUGCAAAGUUGGAUUCUUCCCAUUAUUCUUUGUGAUUGCUAGUUGAAAAAGUAGCUGUCAUCUCACUGUUUAUCUUCACAUGUGGUGUUCCGAAUUGUUGCUUUAAAAAUCUUGGUCUACAAAAUGAUAUUGAAUCUGAACUCAGUUGUCUAUAUUACAUUCGUAAUUUAUGGCUUUUUUGAUAUUUUGAACAUGGUUUGUUAAUAAGAGUAGUUGCUGUUAAGAUUCUGGAACCAUUAUUCAUGAGGCCAUUUACUUCACUCUACAGAUUCUUCCCAUUAUUCUUUGUGAUUGCUUGUAGAAUUCGUGCUUUAUCAAUCUUAGUUUAUAAAAUGUCUUUGAUUAUGAACUCUGCAUUCUAAUGUUACAUUUAUAAUCUGUGGAUUUUUGAUAUCUGGAACAUGGCUUGUUAAUAAGAGUAGUUGCUGUUAUGAUUCUUGAAACCUUUUAUUCAUAAUGAAUUUACUUUGAAACUACAGACUGAUUGGGAAGGUGGAUUCUUUCCAUUAACGAUGCACUUUAGCGAGGACUAUCCGAGCAAGCCUCCCAAAUGCAAAUUCCCACAAGGCUUUUUCCACCCUAAUGUCUAUCCAUCAGGGACAGUCUGUCUCUCAAUCCUCAACGAGGAUUCCGUAAGUCUUUUUCUUCUGCUUCUUUCUGUGCAUUUCUCAUCGAUCUUCACCUGCCUCAAGCCCUCUGUUGGUAUUGUUAUGUUGAUAGGGAUGGAGACCAGCCAUCACAGUGAAGCAGAUUCUUGUGGGUAUACAGGAUUUACUUGACACCCCUAAUCCUGCUGACCCUGCACAGACUGAUGGUUAUCAUCUCUUCAUCCAGGUACAGUCUCAGCAAACAACGCUCAUGAUGGCAUAGUUUCUGGAUCACAGGAAUUUGAUUUUGAUGUGUUUGAAUUUGAUGAAAAAUAUGCAGGAUGCAGUUGAGUACAAGAAAAGGGUUAAGCUUCAGUCUAAGCAGUAUCCUCCCAUUGUCUAAAAACGUCAGAAGUGAACGUAUGAAUCUUUUGUGUUUUUUGUGAUUGUGUUUAAAUGUAAUCGGGUGAUUAAAAAAAACUCCUCAUUUUGGCACCUUUGAGACACUACUAGAAUCUCUUUUAUUUCCGGAAAACAAAAGUUAUCUUUUUCUCUAUGUUAACUGUUAAUAUUCUUGGUACUACUGAUUCAGUUGGGGUCUGCUUGUGUUUAUACACAUUACCUAUGUUCUCUGGUUCAGUUUGUGUUAUUUUCCAUGUUCUAACGAAGUCGAAUGUGAUUGGUCUUUAUUCUCAAGAUCUUUUUAGUUUGAAAUGUAGAAUAUAUCUCUG